AAAAUAAUCCCUCCAUCCAACAAAGGAUGUCUCGACUUUGACUAAAUUUGAAUGCAUCUAUAUACUAAGUCAUGUCUAGAUACAUCCAAAUUUUGACAAACUUGAGACAUCUUUUGUUGGGCGGAGGGAGUAUAUG
Non-coding RNA from Brachypodium distachyon (stiff brome), 136 nucleotides. The record is from Rfam. Lineage: Eukaryota; Viridiplantae; Streptophyta; Magnoliopsida; Poales; Poaceae.